Neodiprion fabricii is the source of this 477-nucleotide long non-coding RNA. RefSeq lists it as uncharacterized. Lineage: Eukaryota; Metazoa; Arthropoda; Insecta; Hymenoptera; Diprionidae. The transcript is spliced from 3 exons. The record is from RefSeq and is a predicted model, not a curated record.
CACAGCAAGCUACUCCGUCAUUAAAGCUCUGUUUACACCGUCGAAAUGCAAUCGGGACAAGACGGAAUCCCGACAGAAUAUUCAUUUAGUUAUCGUAUCGCGGGUGUUUUUGCCAGCCUUACGGUUUGAUCAUAUCACCACGGGACGGCAGCGCGGCAAAUUUCGACGCCAUCGCUACCUCAGUCUCUCCUGCAUUAUACCGAGCGUUAUGCUGAACACGCCUUAUUUACGGCGAUGGCUCCCUUUUUUACGCAACCGCGUAGAAGAAGAAAGGUUUGACAAAAUUGUGGACUAGCUGGGGUCGAGUUCAAACGGCACGCAACUUUUGGGGAUAAAAUAUGGAAAUUGCGACCUGCACCUUUCCCGCCGCACGACAAAUGCAUACUCGAGACGCCUCGGUGAAAUGCUUGUACCAGGCAUAAUAUGACAUGUAUCCUAAUGAAAAAAUUCGAGAAGACUGUUGAAGUACAUAACAAU